AGGACUAGUGAUUGAUGUGUUCCUUGUUGCAGUGAAUUAACAGCAGGCAGCAGACAGGCAUGAGAUGGCUACCAGCACCAAUACCAAAAUCCUCACACCUUCAGCCGUGCUCUGGCUGUGCCUGUGGCAGAGCUGGAGCUCUACCCUGCUCCUCCAGACCUCCAACCGCAGGAGCACAGCAAAUGACUCAGUUGAGAUUUUCUUCUGUUUUGUACAGCAGUAACACAGACAGCUGUGAGGAAAGCCUAGGACACCCCACAGCCCACCUUGAGACUUUGUGAAAUCUCCAUCCCUUCCGAUCUGAAAACAGUGUAACUUCUCACAGGUAUGAGAACUCUCCCAAGGAGGUAUCUCCCAUCCUUUGGAAGAGUUACAAUGUCAUACAGCAUAUGACAUCUGUGCCCUCUCCCAACUCAAAACCCUGGUUUUAUUAACGUAACUAAGAAAAUAUUAUAUGUUCACUAAUAGCAAUGGUCUCCUGUAUAGAAAUGGCUGUAAAGCUCUGUUCUGUUUUUUUAUCAAAGGAAGGUGAAAUCUGCUACAUAAUCUUGACAAGACUCAUAGCACCCACCCUGCUAUUUGGGGAAAAAAAAAAAACAUUUUUUUCCACUUAUUCACUGGCCAGUACUGCAAGACAUUUUAACAGGCAGACAAUUGUGAUCCUCAGCAAAUGCCUGCCUGAGGCUGUGGUCAUGUUCAGUCUAGGCCUGGAGGUCUAUUUGUAAUGCCAAGGCCCUUUCUCUAGACCUGCCAUCUCAGCCUUCUGACUUCAUACUUUCCCAUCUGCAACACACAAUGAGAAAGGAUCAGGGUUUAGUCAGCACAAGUGCUUCUCAGGACAUAAUCCUACUGUCUGUGAUCAUCAGCUUUGUGCGAGACACUUACAAAUUCUUCAUUUGUACUUGUUAAAAUAUUCAAGCUUCCCCUACCUGAACAUUAUGUGAACGAAUCUGCUCAGAUACAUAAUUGAACAGUACUAAAGCUGCACUACCACCUCCAACAAUUAAGUCCGGGAAAUCAAACAUGGACAAAAGGAAUUACUCAGUGUGUGGUCCCAUGCUUUUCCUUCCAUGCAGUAUGAGCAGAGCCAAGCUAAACCUCACAGCUGGCCACAAACACAAGGGUUAAACCAGAUGACCUUCUAAGGUCCCUUCAAAAUAA
Molecule: long non-coding RNA, 1161 nt
Filed under: Taeniopygia guttata (zebra finch)
Lineage: Eukaryota; Metazoa; Chordata; Aves; Passeriformes; Estrildidae
Description: lncRNA (ENSTGUG00000028433.1)
Source: RNAcentral